RNAcentral lists this long non-coding RNA (3065 nucleotides) under Sus scrofa (pig). RNAcentral's name for it is "lncRNA (ENSSSCG00015036501.1)". Lineage: Eukaryota; Metazoa; Chordata; Mammalia; Artiodactyla; Suidae. The record is from RNAcentral.
GGGCCAUGCAUGACAGGUGCAGCAGAGAUACUCAGAAGCACUGAUUUUGAAUGACUCCGAGAUUAGAGUUGAUAAAGAAAGUGUUCAGUCCAUGUUUAUCCUUAGUGAUUUUUACCCUAUUCUUCUACGCAGGUGUAAGUACUCAGAGCCACUUUCAUUCAAGUGAAUUAAAAAUUGGAAACCAGGGGUUCCCACUGUGGUACAACAAAAUUGGCAGCGUCUUUGGAGCCCUGGAACAGAGGUUCAGUCCCCUCCUUAGGGCAGUGGGUUAAGAUCCCGCAUUGCAGCAGCUGCCAUGUGGGUCACAGCUGCACUUCACAACUGAUCCCUGGCCCAGGAACUCCAUGUGCUUUGGGGCAACCAAAAAAAAAAAAAAAAAAAUGGAAACCAGUUCUCGGUGAGAUUGAGAGUGCCAAGAGGGGAGCUGCCCCAGAGAGGGUCAUUGUAGACCUCUGCAUGCACAUGUCAAGGGCGGGUCAGGUCCACCGAAUUUCCUGGUAGCACCACAAUGACAGAUGAAUGAUAAACCCACAAGCAGUCAGCAUCUUUGUGAAGCACACCCUGGCCAAGUGUCCCCCAUUGGGUCAGACCAACCCAGGCGGCAUCGAGACUGAUACACAGUGUGUUUUAAUUCGCAGAGCUGCUUGUGAAUGUCCUCCAGGGAGCCCAGCCCCACCUCUGCUCAGUGAAAAUCAUGGGCUACUACAGGCUAAUGGGAGGGGGACUGCAGAGGGCAGCCACCCUGGAGAGCAGAGCCCUCAGAUGGAGACAGCUGGCUUCCGUCUCUGAGCAGAGCCCAGUACGCUGCACGCAGGACGUGUUCAUAGCUCUGCUGACAUCGCUCAGCUGGGAAAUGAGAAGGUUCAUGAGAUGGCUGCCCUCUUCCUCCAGAGAAGCAAGACCCCAGGAACAAUCCAGGAUCCAGCCCCUUGAUCUGGAAGCCAGACUUCUUCUGACGUCUACAAGACCAUGCAGAGGGGGCAGAGACGAGCGUGGAGAAGACUGGGAAGAAGAUUGUACCAACUACAAACCCUGCCCCCACCCCGAUCCCCGCGAGGGGGACGAAUUCUGAAAGAAGCUGGGAGUCCGCAUCCGUCCAGCCUUCUGGGAGCUCCGAAUCUUUCCACAGCCAUUCGCUGCUGUCCCCCAGCCUUUGUAGCUUUGAAAUCCAUCGGACAUUUCAGGUUGGUUUAAAUAGAUGGGGAGAUGAAUCAACAAAUCUAGUUCAAUUGUCUUUGCUUAACUUUUUAAUCCAUAGUGCAAAUGUGUGCUGAGAAUGUAUUAAUCCUUGUGUACCCAAGUUAAGUGAUGAAAAAAUAUUCUAGGAGCCUUUCAUGACAUGUAAGGGAUUCUACCAGCUCCUGCCCUGCACAAGGCAUUCACUCCUCCGUGCUUUACAGCUGCAUGUGGGUGGGCACCAAGAGGUCCCCCCAGUGUGUCAUGUCUCAGAGGCACCAGGGAGGGAGGGUCCCAGGGGACACAGGACAGGCCUGGGGCAUGUGGUCAGGCUGUGCUUUCCUUGGCCUCUGUGGUGACAGCUGGAGGGAACAAGGGUUCAAGGCCUUGGGUACAGAUGAGCUCAAGCGCUUCUGGGAUGACACCUAAGAGUUGCCCAGCACACGGAAACUCCCUGCCGGAAGUGCAGUGGCUCUUCUCUGCCGGAAGUGCAGCGGCUCACGGAAAUGUGCUUCCGACACUUGCUCCACUGCAGAUGUGGAUUUUGUUUUUAUUCAACAGUUCACCCACUCAUUCAUUAACCAAGGCAUGCACCUCCUGAAGGCCAAACACAGUGUUAAACAGGAAGAACCCUGGCUUUCUGGAGCAACGGAAGCACCUUAUCUGUUGCCCUAAAGCAACCCCAGCCCGCCCCCCGGCUCUCCAUCCCUCCCGAUGCUGCGUCUCCUCUGCUUGGGUCAGUUACACCUUGAACGUCAUGAUCUCCUCAAAGCCUUCGCCGACACCAGCUAGUGUUUAUGGGCAGCCGAGCCGUGAUCUGGGUGCUGAGAGCAGCAAAUCUCACACUGCGGGGGCCCGGGGACUCUGGCGGGGGCCCGAAGAGAACGUGUCUCUUCUAUGCGAGUCUUGCCUGUGACCCCGAACAGCACUGCUUUGUACCACCUCUUACCCUUCCUGCCAGUGUCAUCAUUCCAGGGACACCCAGGCCCAGAACAUGGGGUGAGCAGCCCCCCGCACUCCAGAGGGGGAUCCUCCCCCUCUUCAAGUCCAUGCCCAAGCUUGGACGUGCCCCAGGUGGGAAGGGGCCCAAGUCAUUUCUCGUGGGGUAAAGGGAAAUAGGAAACCAGUAAUUCUUUGUGUUCAUGUUUUGUCCACAUUCAUUAUGGCCUUUGACUAUGGCUCACCGCGACCAUGAGUGUGUGUAAUUAUCUUCCUGUUACAGAUGUGGAAACUGAGGCCAGGAGAAUAACUAACUGGCUGAAGGUCACACAGCCAGUAAAGGGUCGAUCCAGGGCUAGACGCGUAUGUUGCAGGUGAACCUGACCUUUGUGCUACCCAGUGGCUCAGCCUACCCCAGGGCAUCCUUCACCCACUGACCUGUCAGCCCGUCCUCACUCACCAUAUGGGACACAAUGGGCCUUAGGACCCAGGGCUUUCCCUCAAGGUACUUGAGCUGAGUAUUGUCAGUGGGCAGAACGCCAACGCUCAGGGCUGUCUUCCCCUCCCCUGCCGUCCAUGGAGCCCCCGCCUCCCUCACCUCACACAGCGCCAACUCACUCCCGGUAAAUGCAGUGUUUUUCCAUUCCAGUGAGCUCAGCCCUUACUUUGAUUUGGGUGCAGGCAGCUGCAGGUGCCUCAAGUUAUCAUGUGCUCUCUCCCCGCAAUGUCAUCCGUGUUUACUUGCCGCUCUGGACUUUCGAUUCUGUCAGGAUGCCAGUCGGCUGGGCCGCCAGGCACCACAGCUGACAGUCAAAUCUGUGAUGCCGAAUCCUUCUUCUGGAAAAAAGGGCUAAAGAGGUUAAUACACUCAAGUCAGGAUAAACACACCAGCUGUUAGAGUUUCUAAUAUUUAAUAUCAUUAUCAAAUAAAUAACUCAAGAAGAAAUACA